This 546-nucleotide long non-coding RNA is filed under the name Homo sapiens (human). RNAcentral describes it as "non-protein coding lnc-ALDOC-1:1". The record is from RNAcentral. Lineage: Eukaryota; Metazoa; Chordata; Mammalia; Primates; Hominidae.
AAGCUAGCAUGGCGGCCGCCGGGGCUGCGGCUACACACCUAGGUGCGGUGGGCUUCGGGUGGGGGGCCUGCAGCUAGCUGAUGGCAAGGGAGGAAUAGCAGGGGUGGGGAUUGUGGUGUGCGAGAGGUCCCGCGGACGGGGGGCUCGGGGGUCUCUUCAGACGAGAUUCCCUUCAGGCUUGGGCCGGGUCCCUUCGCACGGAGAUCCCAAUGAACGCGGGCCCCUGGAGGCCGGUGGUUGGGGCUUCUCCGCGUCGGGGAUGGGGCCGGUACCCUAGCCCGUUUCCAGCGCCUCAGUCGGUUCCCCAUGCCCUCAGAGGUGGCCCGGGGCAAGCGCGCCGCCCUCUUCUUCGCUGCGGUGGCCAUCGUGCUGGGGCUACCGCUCUGGUGGAAGACCACGGAGACCUACCGGGCCUCGUUGCCUUACUCCCAGAUCAGUGGCCUGAAUGCCCUUCAGACAAAAUGAAAAUCAAAUGCCGUUUCCAGAAGGCCUAUCGGAGGGCUUUGGACCAUGAGGAGGAGGCCCUGUCAUCGGGCAGUGUGCAAG